This 546-nucleotide ribosomal RNA is filed under the name uncultured bacterium. RNAcentral's name for it is "partial 16S ribosomal RNA". It matches the Rfam family "Bacterial small subunit ribosomal RNA", at positions 355 to 895 of the family's 1533-position model. The record is from RNAcentral.
UGGGGAAUUUUGGACAAUGGGCGAAAGCCUGAUCCAGCAAUGCCGCGUGUGUGAAGAAGGCCUUCGGGUUGUAAAGCACUUUUGUCCGGAAAGAAAUCCUUGGCUCUAAUACAGUCGGGGGAUGACGGUACCGGAAGAAUAAGCACCGGCUAACUACGUGCCAGCAGCCGUGGUAAUACGUAGGGUGCAAGCGUUAAUCGGAAUUACUGGGCGUAAAGCGUGCGCAGGCGGUUUGCUAAGACCGAUGUGAAAUCCCCGGGCUCAACCUGGGAACUGCAUUGGUGACUGGCAGGCUAGAGUAUGGCAGAGGGGGGUAGAAUUCCACGUGUAGCAGUGAAAUGCGUAGAGAUGUGGAGGAAUACCGAUGGCGAAGGCAGCCCCCUGGGCCAAUACUGACGCUCAUGCACGAAAGCGUGGGGAGCAAACAGGAUUAGAUACCCUGGUAGUCCACGCCCUAAACGAUGUCAACUAGUUGUUGGGGAUUCAUUCCUUAGUAACGUAGCUAACGCGUGAAGUUGACCGCCUGGGGAGUACGGUCGCAAGAUU